RNAcentral lists this microRNA precursor (96 nucleotides) under Macaca nemestrina (pig-tailed macaque). RNAcentral's name for it is "miRNA (ENSMNEG00000017472.1)". The record is from RNAcentral. Lineage: Eukaryota; Metazoa; Chordata; Mammalia; Primates; Cercopithecidae.
UCUAUUUGUCUUAGGUGAGCUAAAUGUGUGCUGGGACAUUUGGCUCAAAUGUGUCCCAGUACACAUUUAGCUCACAUAAGAAAAAUGAACUCUAGU